GACGAACGCUGGCGGCGUGCUUAACACAUGCAAGUCGAACGAAGUGGCGAACGGGUGAGUAACGCGUAAUCAACCUGCCCUUCAGAGGGGGACAACAGUUGGAAACGACUGCUAAUACCGCAUACUGAAGGAGGGGAUUGCGUCUGAUUAGCUACUUGGAGGGGUAACGGCCCACCAAGGCGAUGAUCGGUAGCCGGGCGGGGAGGUGGGACGGCCACAAUGGGACUUGGACACGGCCCAGACUCCUACGGGAGGCAGCAGGGGGGGAACUUCCGCAAUGGACGAAAGGCUGACGGGGCAACGCCGCGUGGGUGAUGACGGCCUUCGGGUUGUAAAGCUCUGUUAAUCGGGACGCGGUACCGGAAUAGAAAGCCACGGCUAACUACGUGCCAGCAGCCGCGGUAAUAC
Molecule: ribosomal RNA, 408 nt
Filed under: uncultured bacterium
Lineage: Bacteria
Description: partial 16S ribosomal RNA
Rfam family: Bacterial small subunit ribosomal RNA
Source: RNAcentral